Molecule: long non-coding RNA, 1745 nt
Organism: Sapajus apella (tufted capuchin)
Lineage: Eukaryota; Metazoa; Chordata; Mammalia; Primates; Cebidae
Exons: 2
Source: RefSeq, a predicted model, not a curated record
AGGCUGCCAGAGGGUCACGGUGGGAGCCCCCGCCUUCGCCACUACCCCUGGGCCAUCCUGCCCCGCCCCUAUGUGGGCAUCACAAUGAGGAGGUGUCUCCAUCAGUAGCCAUGGCCUGUCAGGACUCUUCAGAGACCGCCUGCUUCCCAGGCUCCAGGCAGCUGGGCGGACAUUCAAGACUUGCUUCAUUCAUCAUCUCUGCCACCAACCUCGCCAGGUGGUCACCUGGCUGCCAAAUGUGAUGGCUUUCCAGUUGCACACCCUUCCAUCUGACUUAGCUCUCUUGGGUGGGAAACAGGCACUCCUGCCCCUUCUCCCUGGAGAGGACCAUGGAUCCUGAAACAGUAUCUCAGAGCCUUGGCGGCCGGUGCAACUGCAGUGCACCUAGACCUCUCUCUGCAGGCCAGCUGAGGCCUGGGGCUCACCCCUCUCUCUCAACCCUCUUUAAAAAGGGGGGCACAUGGAGUCCCUGCAAGGCUUAGCCACCUUAUGCCAGGGCAGUAGGGAGUGCUCAGCGGGACCCAGGCCUGCAGGCUCCACGAAGGACCUCAUUUGCACUUCAAUGAAGCGCUUUUCUUUCACUCAACUAUGUAUCUUGGUGUUAGAUGUGUCAGUGGGGAGACUCCCCAGUGCAAUUAAACAGGAGUAUUGAGCCGGAGAGAAAUCAGUGUGUGUUGACUCAGAUAUUUAAGCAACCACCUUUCAGUAUUGACUCAGAAAUUGGCCUUCCAGCUGUCCCUGCUGGCAGACUCUUCUGGCAUCUCGUCAAGCCCGUGUUAAUGUGUUUUUCAAAUUUCAACUUGCUUCAACUUGUCUCCUGACUGAUCCUCCUGAUGAUGAUAAUUAUGGUUUCCAGGCUGACCUGCACACAGCACUUAGGCAAGUAGCCCAGGCCCCUCUCUGGAGGUGACCUCCUCCUUAUAAAUCACAGUCAGAGGACGUUUGCUUGCUGGGUUCGCGGCAGGUUAAGUCAGCUUGGGGGACUUCUCAAGCAACCUCUAAUUGUUCCUCUGGAGAACCUGAGUGGUGUGGGUCUCUCUCCUGAUGGGGUUAGACUUCAGUGGUCUGCUGCUGGAGGGGGCCGGGUUGCUGAUUCCCUCCAAAUUUUACUCACUCUUCCAAACAGGAAGAGCUUUCCCACCAUGUGCAGUCCCCCUGAUGAGUAAUUCUUGGAUGGGUUUGUGGUCACUUAAUUGCCAGGGAGCUUGCCCCUUGCUUUACAGAGUCGUGACUAUACAAGCACCUUUCCCAGCCGUGGCCAAUUAGUGGGGCCCCAGCUGGUUUGGAGCCAGGCUUCUAAGGAAGGCUGGGUCCCUGUUAGCCUCUCUGAGGCCUUCCUAAGUGCGGCUGUCAAACUUUGCUGAACUUUCCCCCUUGCGGCUAAUGAGUGUCACAGCUAUUUUUAACCUCGGGUUUUCUAGAAUUUGAGCUGUUAACCCAGCUCCCACAGAAGAAGGAUCCUGGGAGGUGGAAAUGGACUCUUCACACACAAGGAGGGAGAGAAAAGGGAAAGAGGAAAAUGAAUUUAAAGGAAAUAGGAGUAGCAAUGGAGGAGAUGGAAGAUCCGGCUAAGACACAAGUGAGAAAAAUGAAAAAUGGCUAGGCUACAAGAGAGGAAAAAUCUGCUAUGAGGCAGCAGAGAUGAAUCGAUGCUGAAAAGCUGUAUUUUUGAGAGGAGAAAUUGCAAGGGGAGGGGGAAAUUAAAGAGUGUUGAAUAAAGAGGAGACUAAGAGACCUGUAAAAUA